RNAcentral lists this ribosomal RNA (497 nucleotides) under uncultured bacterium. RNAcentral describes it as "partial 16S ribosomal RNA". It matches the Rfam family "Bacterial small subunit ribosomal RNA", at positions 28 to 507 of the family's 1533-position model. The record is from RNAcentral.
GAUGAACGCUGGCGGCGUGCCUAAUACAUGCAAGUCGAGCGAACAGACGAGGAGCUUGCUCCUCUGACGUUAGCGGCGGACGGGUGAGUAACACGUGGAUAACCUACCUAUAAGACUGGGAUAACUUCGGGAAACCGGAGCUAAUACCGGAUAAUAUAUUGAACCGCAUGGUUCAAUAGUGAAAGACGGUUUUGCUGUCACUUAUAGAUGGAUCCGCGCCGCAUUAGCUAGUUGGUAAGGUAACGGCUUACCAAGGCAACGAUGCGUAGCCGACCUGAGAGGGUGGUCGGCCACACUGGAACUGAGACACGGUCCAGACUCCUACGGGAGGCGGCAGUAGGGAAUCUUCCGCAAUGGGCGAAAGCCUGACGGAGCAACGCCGCGUGAGUGAUGAAGGUCUUCGGAUCGUAAAACUCUGUUAUUAGGGAAGAACAAAUGUGUAAGUAACUAUGCACGUCUUGACGGUACCUAAUCAGAAAGCCACGGCUAACUACGUG